This 303-nucleotide ribosomal RNA is filed under the name uncultured bacterium. Its description in RNAcentral is "partial 16S ribosomal RNA". It matches the Rfam family "Bacterial small subunit ribosomal RNA", at positions 507 to 807 of the family's 1533-position model. The record is from RNAcentral.
AGCAGUAGCCACGGGAAUACGAAGGGGGCUAGCGUUGUUCGGAAUUACUGGGCGUAUAGCGCACGUAGGCGGAUAUUUAAGCCAGGGGUGAAAUCCCAGAGCUCAACUCUGGAACUGCCUUUGAUACUGGGUAUCUUGAGUAUGGAAGAGGUGAGUGGAAUUCCGAGUGUAGGGGUGAAAUUCGUAGAUAUUCGGAGGAACACCAGUGGCGAAGGCGGCUCACUGGUCUGUAACUGACGCUGAGGAGCGAAAGCGUGGGGAGCGAACAGGAUUAGAUACCCGCGUAGUCCCUGUCUCUUAUAC